RNAcentral lists this transfer RNA (74 nucleotides) under Amazona aestiva (blue-fronted amazon). It matches the Rfam family "tRNA". Rfam says of the family: Transfer RNA (tRNA) molecules are approximately 80 nucleotides in length. Lineage: Eukaryota; Metazoa; Chordata; Aves; Psittaciformes; Psittacidae. The record is from Rfam by way of RNAcentral.
GUAGUUGUGGCCGAGUGGUGAAGGCAAUGGACUAGAAAUCCAUUGGGGUUUCCCCGCACAGGUGCCCAGCUGUU